UGCAGUCGAGCGGUAGAGAGAAGCUUGCUUCUCUUGAGAGCGGCGGACGGGUGAGUAAUGCCUAGGAAUCUGCCUGGUAGUGGGGGAUAACGUUCGGAAACGGACGCUAAUACCGCAUACGUCCUACGGGAGAAAGCAGGGGACCUUCGGGCCUUGCGCUAUCAGAUGAGCCUAGGUCGGAUUAGCUAGUUGGUGGGGUAAUGGCUCACCAAGGCGACGAUCCGUAACUGGUCUGAGAGGAUGAUCAGUCACACUGGAACUGAGACACGGUCCAGACUCCUACGGGAGGCAGCAGUGGGGAAUAUUGGACAAUGGGCGAAAGCCUGAUCCAGCCAUGCCGCGUGUGUGAAGAAGGUCUUCGGAUUGUAAAGCACUUUAAGUUGGGAGGAAGGGUUGUAGAUUAAUACUCUGCAAUUUUGACGUUACCGACAGAAUAAGCACCGGCUAACUCUGUGCCAGCAGCCGCGGUAAUACAGAGGGUGCAAGCGUUAAUCGGAAUUACUGGGCGUAAAGCGCGCGUAGGUGGUUUGUUAAGUUGGAUGUGAAAUCCCCGGGCUCAACCUGGGAACUGCAUUCAAAACUGACUGACUAGAGUAUGGUAGAGGGUGGUGGAAUUUCCUGUGUAGCGGUGAAAUGCGUAGAUAUAGGAAGGAACACCAGUGGCGAAGGCGACCACCUGGACUAAUACUGACACUGAGGUGCGAAAGCGUGGGGAGCAAACAGGAUUAGAUACCCUGGUAGUCCACGCCGUAAACGAUGUCAACUA
This 766-nucleotide ribosomal RNA is filed under the name Pseudomonas sp. RMAN5. Its description in RNAcentral is "bacterial SSU rRNA". It matches the Rfam family "Bacterial small subunit ribosomal RNA", at positions 56 to 818 of the family's 1533-position model. The record is from RNAcentral. Lineage: Bacteria; Pseudomonadati; Pseudomonadota; Gammaproteobacteria; Pseudomonadales; Pseudomonadaceae. RNAcentral also lists the same sequence under 1 other name.